AAACCAGUCCACUCUGUCUCUCUCUCUCUCCGUCCUUCAUCCUCUCGCAUUUCUUGUUUCUUCGAUUUCUUCUGCAAAAAUGAGAGAGAUCCUUCAUGUUCAGGGUGGGCAAUGUGGCAACCAGAUCGGUGCCAAGUUUUGGGAGGUGGUUUGCGCCGAGCACGGCAUCGACACCACUGGAAAGUACGGUGGUGAUUCCGAACUUCAGCUCGAGAGGAUUAAUGUGUACUACAAUGAAGCCAGUUGCGGUAGGUAUGUGCCUCGUGCUGUUCUUAUGGAUCUCGAGCCCGGCACCAUGGACAGUAUCAGAUCUGGACUUUAUGGCCAGAUCUUCAGGCCGGAUAACUUUGUUUUUGGUCAAUCUGGUGCUGGAAACAACUGGGCGAAAGGACAUUACACCGAAGGCGCUGAACUUAUUGAUUCCGUGCUCGAUGUUGUCCGGAAGGAGGCGGAGAAUUGUGAUUGCUUGCAAGGGUUUCAGGUCUGCCAUUCUCUAGGAGGAGGAACUGGAUCUGGAAUGGGAACACUUCUGAUUUCGAAGAUCAGAGAAGAAUACCCCGACAGGAUGAUGCUUACUUUCUCUGUCUUUCCAUCUCCCAAGGUCUCUGAUACUGUCGUUGAGCCUUACAAUGCAACUCUCUCAGUUCAUCAACUGGUGGAGAAUGCAGAUGAGUGCAUGGUUCUUGACAACGAAGCCCUUUACGAUAUCUGCUUCCGUACUCUCAAGCUCACCACUCCAAGCUUUGGUGAUUUGAAUCAUUUGAUCUCUGCAACAAUGUCCGGUGUGACUUGCUGUUUGAGAUUCCCUGGACAGCUCAACUCAGAUCUCAGAAAGCUCGCUGUUAAUCUCAUUCCCUUCCCUCGUCUCCACUUUUUCAUGGUGGGUUUUGCUCCUCUUACAUCUCGUGGUUCUCAGCAGUACAGAGCACUGACUGUGCCCGAGCUUACUCAACAAAUGUGGGAUGCCAAGAACAUGAUGUGUGCCGCCGACCCACGACACGGUCGCUACUUAACUGCCUCUGCUAUGUUCAGAGGCAAGAUGAGCACAAAAGAGGUCGAUGAGCAAAUGCUCAACGUACAGAACAAGAACUCCUCUUACUUCGUGGAGUGGAUUCCAAACAAUGUCAAAUCGACUGUUUGUGAUAUCCCUCCCACCGGUUUGAAAAUGGCUUCGACUUUCAUCGGAAAUUCCACAUCAAUUCAGGAAAUGUUCCGACGUGUGAGCGAACAGUUCACUGCCAUGUUUAGGAGGAAAGCUUUCUUGCAUUGGUACACCGGUGAAGGUAUGGACGAGAUGGAGUUCACCGAGGCCGAAAGUAACAUGAACGAUCUGGUUUCGGAGUACCAGCAGUACCAAGAUGCCACAGCUGAUGAGGAAUAUUACGAGGAAGAAGAAGAAGAGGAACCUGAAGAUGUGUAAGAUGAAGAAGAUAGUAUGGGGUUUCCAUGUUUGUUGUAGGGAUGUAAUAUGUUGCAAGUUUUGCAACUUUCUCUUGCCAGUCGUGAAUGUUUUUUUUUUUUCUUUUUUCUGUUGUCUUUUAUUAUGUGCUUGACUUUUGGAACUGAUUGUGUCUUCACUCUGUUCAAAUUUUAACCUACUACCUAAUAUGAAUUUUUGUUCAAAUCCCAUGUGA
Molecule: RNA transcript, 1634 nt
Organism: Cucurbita moschata (crookneck pumpkin)
Lineage: Eukaryota; Viridiplantae; Streptophyta; Magnoliopsida; Cucurbitales; Cucurbitaceae
Gene name: tubulin beta-1 chain
Exons: 4
Source: RefSeq, a predicted model, not a curated record